CAAUGGUGCUUUAAAUUUCACAUU
This 24-nucleotide non-coding RNA is filed under the name Arabidopsis thaliana (thale cress). Lineage: Eukaryota; Viridiplantae; Streptophyta; Magnoliopsida; Brassicales; Brassicaceae. The record is from RNAcentral.